Molecule: ribosomal RNA, 508 nt
Filed under: Pseudomonas sp. H6
Lineage: Bacteria; Pseudomonadati; Pseudomonadota; Gammaproteobacteria; Pseudomonadales; Pseudomonadaceae
Description: bacterial SSU rRNA
Rfam family: Bacterial small subunit ribosomal RNA
Source: RNAcentral
UGGUGGGGUAAUGGCUCACCAAGGCGACGAUCCGUAACUGGUCUGAGAGGAUGAUCAGUCACACUGGAACUGAGACACGGUCCAGACUCCUACGGGAGGCAGCAGUGGGGAAUAUUGGACAAUGGGCGAAAGCCUGAUCCAGCCAUGCCGCGUGUGUGAAGAAGGUCUUCGGAUUGUAAAGCACUUUAAGUUGGGAGGAAGGGUUGUAGAUUAAUACUCUGCAAUUUUGACGUUACCGACAGAAUAAGCACCGGCUAACUCUGUGCCAGCAGCCGCGGUAAUACAGAGGGUGCAAGCGUUAAUCGGAAUUACUGGGCGUAAAGCGCGCGUAGGUGGUUUGUUAAGUUGGAUGUGAAAUCCCCGGGCUCAACCUGGGAACUGCAUUCAAAACUGACUGACUAGAGUAUGGUAGAGGGUGGUGGAAUUUCCUGUGUAGCGGUGAAAUGCGUAGAUAUAGGAAGGAACACCAGUGGCGAAGGCGACCACCUGGACUAAUACUGACACUGAG